This 467-nucleotide ribosomal RNA is filed under the name Salmonella enterica. RNAcentral's name for it is "partial 23S ribosomal RNA". It matches the Rfam family "Bacterial large subunit ribosomal RNA", at positions 1292 to 1759 of the family's 2925-position model. The record is from RNAcentral. Lineage: Bacteria; Pseudomonadati; Pseudomonadota; Gammaproteobacteria; Enterobacterales; Enterobacteriaceae. RNAcentral also lists the same sequence under 2 other names.
GAAUGCUGACAUAAGUAACGAUAAAGCGGGUGAAAAGCCCGCUCGCCGGAAGACCAAGGGUUCCUGUCCAACGUUAAUCGGGGCAGGGUGAGUCGACCCCUAAGGCGAGGCCGAAAGGCGUAGUCGAUGGGAAACGGGUUAAUAUUCCCGUACUUGGUGUUACUGCGAAGGGGGGACGGAGAAGGCUAUGUUGGCCGGGCGACGGUUGUCCCGGUUUAAGCGUGUAGGUGUGUGUUCCAGGUAAAUCCGGUUCACUUUAACACUGAGGCGUGACGACGAGGCACUACGGUGCUGAAGCAACAAAUGCCCUGCUUCCAGGAAAAGCCUCUAAGCAUCAGGUAACACGAAAUCGUACCCCAAACCGACACAGGUGGUCAGGUAGAGAAUACCAAGGCGCUUGAGAGAACUCGGGUGAAGGAACUAGGCAAAAUGGUGCCGUAACUUCGGGAGAAGGCACGCUGACACGU